GACGAACGCUGGCGGCAGGCUUAACACAUGCAAGUCGAACGCUCUCUUCGGAGAGAGUGGCAGACGGGUGAGUAACGCGUGGGAAACUACCCUAUUCUACGGAACAACAGUUAGAAAUGACUGCUAAUACCGUAUACGCCCUCCGGGGAAAGAUUUAUCGGAGUAGGAUGUGCCCGCGUUUGAUUAGCUAGUUGGUGAGGUAAUGGCUCACCAAGGCGACGAUCCAUAGCUGGUCUGAGAGGAUGAUCAGCCACACUGGGACUGAGACACGGCCCAGACUCCUACGGGAGGCAGCAGUGGGAAUCUUGGACAAUGGGGGCAACCCUGAUCCAGCCAUGCCGCGUGAGUGAUGAAGGCCUUAGGGUCGUAAAGCUCUUUCGCCUGUGAAGAUAAUGACGGUAGC
This 403-nucleotide ribosomal RNA is filed under the name uncultured bacterium. Its description in RNAcentral is "bacterial SSU rRNA". It matches the Rfam family "Bacterial small subunit ribosomal RNA", at positions 28 to 479 of the family's 1533-position model. The record is from RNAcentral.